Long non-coding RNA from Manacus vitellinus (golden-collared manakin), 1105 nucleotides. RefSeq lists it as uncharacterized. Lineage: Eukaryota; Metazoa; Chordata; Aves; Passeriformes; Pipridae. The transcript has 3 exons. The record is from RefSeq and is a predicted model, not a curated record.
GAAAUGCUGAUGUUCUAAUCUGCUACAGCAAAACUUCUCGUCCUUACCCUUCUGUUAAGACAUAACUGGGUACUCGACCAUGGCAAUGGGAUUCCAAAUGGCUUCCUGAAAAGCUACAGUGACAGGUCAGCCAAAGAUUUUGCUGAUACCUUCAGUGCCAUCAGGUUCUGCCUGCUCCUCACGCUGCUUCUGCUUGAACUUCAGGUUCCCAUAGUGCAUGACGGCCCCUGUCAGCUUGUAGAUGGCUGUUUUCUCAUCAGCACUGAAGCCCAGGAUGUCAAUGGCACUCUGCACCAGGAACAGUAAAAUAAAAGCUUUGUCUUGGAGAGAUGACAAUAGGUACAAUGUUCUUAAUUGGUACUCACAUCUGUGGCCAUGAGCUCCUCCUGGUCGUUAAUGCUGGGAACAGUGAUCUCACCUUGACUCACAAAUUGAUAGUCAUAUGGGUUGGUGGUGAUGAGGAGCAUGUCUGAAAGUAAGAGGGGAUAUACAGGCUUAUUUUAGUCAAGCAAGUAACGGUGUUCAGCAGUCUUCCUCCAGUUAUUAAUUCUUCCUACCAAUUAGCUCUGGCUUCUUGUUGGACAUGAUCUGAUAAAAGAUGUGGUAGCUUCUUUCUGCCUUGAGCUGGAAAGUGACUCUGGACUUCUCCAGCAGAUCUGGAGAAAAAAUUUUAGUUAGAAAAAAGAAGAAACAGGAAAAAAAAAGAAAGUAAAAAGAAGACGGGAAGAAAAACAGGGAAGGCAGGAUAGAUAUUUGGAUGAAAAGAUGUUUUAUGGAUAGACAGGUGAGUAGAUGGAUUGUUCAGGAAAGUGUCUUACAUGUUUCAAUAUCUGCAGAAGCCAGUUUUCCUGUGGCACCAAAAUGAAUUCUGAUGAAUUUGCCCUUUAAAGGAAUUAAAGUGUCUUAGGAUUUACAACAUAAAAAAUAUCACUGAAAUGAAGAGUUCUUCCAUUUAUUCCACGGGGCACAAGAUUUCUACUUAGAGACAUUCCACUAUUAACAUAAAGUUGUCUUUUUCAUUUUUGACCAAAAAAUAAUCAACAGUGGCAAAACUAUAUUUUGUGUAGGUUGAAUGUACAAAUGUGAAAGAAUGUGUGGGUUUCAU